RNAcentral lists this ribosomal RNA (468 nucleotides) under uncultured bacterium. RNAcentral's name for it is "partial 16S ribosomal RNA". It matches the Rfam family "Bacterial small subunit ribosomal RNA", at positions 28 to 507 of the family's 1533-position model. The record is from RNAcentral.
GACAAACGCUGGCGGCGUGCUUAACACAUGCAAGUCGAACGGAAAGGCCCUGCUUUUGUGGGGUGCUCGAGUGGCGAACGGGUGAGUAACACGUGAGUAACCUGCCCUUGACUUUGGGAUAACUUCAGGAAACUGGGGCUAAUACCGGAUAGGAGCUCCUGCUGCAUGGUGGGGGUUGGAAAGUUUCGGCGGUUGGGGAUGGACUCGCGGCUUAUCAGCUUGUUGGUGGGGUAGUGGCUUACCAAGGCUUUGACGGGUAGCCGGCCUGAGAGGGUGACCGGCCACAUUGGGACUGAGAUACGGCCCAGACUCCUACGGGAGGCAGCAGUGGGGAAUAUUGCACAAUGGGCGGAAGCCUGAUGCAGCAACGCCGCGUGCGGGAUGACGGCCUUUGGGUUGUAAACCGCUUUCGCCUGUGACGAAGCGUGAGUGACGGUAAUGGGUAAAGAAGCACCGGCUAACUACGUG